GGGGAUGACAGGAUUCGAUAGACGGAUCAGUUGUCUAUAAGUGCAUACCGAGUUCGCCCACCUCUCGUAAAACAGGGCACACUUUACGUGCAAACGUAGUAAGUCGAGUGAAAAACGCUGUUGCUCGCGCAUUCAGUGUCCCUACAUUCGCAUCCGCUGUCGUUUAAGUACUUCAGCCAUUGGCCUUGCGAUACUCAAUAGCAAGUCGCCGGUGUCACCCUAUUGAGUGUAGGAUUUAAGGCUGUGCCCGUGCCUUUUUUCUGAAAGUACAAUUUCGGGCAACCACUUUGUCUUUUUGCCACGUUUUAAGGCAAAGUGUCACCCAAAUGUGGAUAUGUAUGUAGUAUCGUAUAGGGAACCCGCUCUAGACCCGAGUUCAAUUCUCGGCAUCUCCACGA
This 398-nucleotide transfer-messenger RNA is filed under the name Patescibacteria group. Its description in RNAcentral is "JAGOTR01 sp018061685 Standard tmRNA". It matches the Rfam family "transfer-messenger RNA". Rfam says of the family: Bacterial tmRNA, also known as 10Sa RNA or SsrA, is named for its dual tRNA and mRNA-like properties. Its role is to liberate the mRNA from a stalled ribosome. To accomplish this part of the tmRNA is used as a reading frame that ends in a translation stop signal. The record is from RNAcentral. RNAcentral also lists the same sequence under 1 other name.